AGAAAUCGUUAAGGGCGUAUGGCGGAUGCCUAGGCUUUCAGAGGCGAAGAAGGACGUGGUAAGCUGCGAAAAGCUGCGGGGAUUGGCACACACGAAUUGAUCCGCAGAUGUCCGAAUGGGGCAACCCGGCAUAUUGAAGAUAUGUCACCCAGCAAUGGGAGCAAACCCGGAGAACUGAAACAUCUAAGUACCCGGAGGAAAAGAAAUCGAAGAGAUUCCGUAAGUAGUGGCGAGCGAAAGCGGAUUAGCCCAAAAGCUUUUAUAUGUUUAAUAGAACACACUGGAAAGUGUGGCCAAAGAGGGUGAUAGCCCCGUAUAUGAAAGGCAUACAUAAGUGAUAAAUGAGUAGGGCGGGACACGUGAAAUCCUGUCUGAAUAUG
Molecule: ribosomal RNA, 380 nt
Filed under: Elizabethkingia anophelis
Lineage: Bacteria; Pseudomonadati; Bacteroidota; Flavobacteriia; Flavobacteriales; Weeksellaceae
Description: bacterial LSU rRNA
Rfam family: Bacterial large subunit ribosomal RNA
Source: RNAcentral